AAUGAAUCAGACGGGAGCAAAGGAUGAUCUCCAGUCGGCUAAAUUUGUUUAGAGAUAAAACUGUCGGCGUUUUUUUAUCAAUCUAUCUAAACAUGUGUAAUUAUAGAUCGUCAUGCGAAAAUUGUAGUUUGGUGAUGAUCAAAACGGGAAAACCUCACACCAGCCCUAUUCUUCUUAUUGCAACACAAUUCAAAAUUUUGACUUACGUACUAUUUGUACGACUUAAAGUCAACAGUGCAUCCGUUUAUGAGUUUAUGUCUUAAUUACGUUUACGUUUGAGAUUUUAUAACGCUGUAUUCAAUAAACAAACAUCGUUGUGCGAAUGUUUAUUCAGUAUAAUUGCAUUUUUUAUUUUUAAUUAAAUUAUGAAAAAUCCCACUUAUUUUAUUUAUUGCAUAAAAUGUAACAUCAUAAAAUAUUUUUGUUCAUACUGAAGGGCGAUGUGCAUAAAUGUUAUUCCAGAAUUAAUUACUACCGUUUAUGACAUCGUCAUUUGUAAUAAAUAUUUUUAAUUUAAUUGCUGUAAAAUUAUUACUGAAAAUUUUACACUGGAUGCGUUUAACUGCUUGACAUUUGACUCAGCAAAUUGCAUCAUUUUAUAAAAUUUAUAAAACCGUCCAGCAAUAACCUACUUCCUGACCCAUUUGCUGCAGAAAUAUGCACUUAUACAAACAACCUGUCCUUCUGGGCUAACAAUAACCCGCCGCUUUAUUUAUAAAUAGAAAGUUUAAAACGGUAAAGUUUACUUUCAUCCACCUUGAAGAAUCCUUGAAACACACUUUAUCCGCAUUAUAAUUUUAAUUGUGAUUUUAGUCGGACUUGAACUAAAAUCUCGCGAGUCCUCACAGUUUCAUGCUUGCCGAUAGGGAAUUCGCUACAUUGUAAAACUUUACACGUUGGAACAUCUUGCAGGAUUAAAAACUGAAACCUAUCCUGCACAAAGCAAACUUCACAGAGGCAGCGGUGCGCUCCAUUCUUUGAUUCCUCGCCAAAAGAGCUCCGUAAUUUUUAUUUUAUUAAAACGAAACUUAAACAGAUAAUUAAUUAACCAAAAGCUUUGCCGUACAGCAAUGUGCUUUUUUGAGUUUCCGAACGACUGGCUCAUGUUUACAAGUGGUGCUUCGGCGAGUGUAAACUAAACCAAGUUUUUUACAAAGUAAUUAACAACGGUUUAUAUAAAGGGAUUUGCGGGUUUAGAACGGUUUUGUUUAAACUAAACCCGAAUCCCGCCGCGAUAUUUAAAUUCACGAUGGUAGGUGAUGCGGAAUUACAUCGGGGUAUUUUUACUUUUGCAGUCCCAGUUUGCUUACUUUUGAAGACUAACUAAUUACAUUUCCCGCUGAAAUGUGUAUAUUCCAAGCAAAUAUUUGCUACUCAUACCAAUGUCUUUGUUAAACUGAUUUUUAGGCUGAGAUUUAGUUUCACUCUCCUAAUAUCAAAAAAAUAAAACUUUUACGAACAUUUUUUGGGACUAGAGUGAUGAAGGAUUCAGUUUUCUUUACCAAGGGGUAAAUUACCUAAUACCUCGUAUUCCUGCUACUUAAUAGGGGUCAAAAUAGUGCUCUUGAUAUAUUAGGUAAAUUAAGAGUCUUGUCUUGUCUAAUCGCGCUUUGCAACUCAAUAUGUGUGCUCUGCAAAGGCCAACCCCGUCUGCGCCUAAAUGCAGUGCAAAGCCCUCACUCGCCACAAAGAGAAUUUCGAAAACAUUCAUAAACGCCCCACAAAGUGUAAAGUACGAAAAUUCAAUCUCCGUUCCUCUUUUUCCUUAAAACCACUAAAUGAAUUUGGUAAUAACCCCGAUAAUGAGUACCGGCAAGUUAUAAACCCCUGGUGACUGUUUCUAAUUUAAUUUCUGGUUCGGUAUUCGUGAUCGAGUCGAAUUUUAAGACCAAUGGUUGCCUGUUAAUAAUUACUCGGCUUCCUUAUGACUCGACGUAAUGGUUAAUUGAAGUCGUGAUAUUGGAGUGGCUGUUUAAGGGUGAGGUAAGUUGUACAUUACGAGUGUUUCACUUUAUUCUAAAUAUAAAUUGAAUCGAUGAGUUAAUUAAAAACAAGCAAGGUUCCGCAUAAUGGCAGUUUCAAUUAGCUGAGUCGAGGUUUGACCCAAGCGGUGGGGAAUCCCCAUUACAACAACAACGCUAUCAUACCAAUGCAUAAAUCGGAUCAUAAGUGGAAAGGCAAGGGAGAUUUUUAGCCAAGUUUAACCUUUUCUGGCGCAGGAUUAAGCCAUGUUUUACUUACCAAUAAUAUACGAAAAUUCGGGACGUGACGGUCUACUACAAACGCACUGUGAAUUAUUCAUAGCCUAGAUAUGAACAUGAAGUCAUUUUCAUCAGCUACAUGUCUAAUCAAAUUACCACUGCCAUUUGCAAUAAAUCGCUCGCAGUUUAAUUCGAUUUAAUCCUCACAUUGUGGGAAUUAAGGAUGGUUUUAACGUUUUCUGCCAGCUUCGGGUUAGGAAGUAGUUUUGCCCUUUUGUCAGCGGUGCUUUUAUUGACAAAAUAUGCUGAAUAAUGCAGUGAUUCUGUUUUGAGUUCAUUUGAUUUGUUAAUUAUUCCACAAAGACGUACGAGGAAGUUUGAUAGCACCCAAGGACUACAACUACGCCAAAUUUUAAAAAUCAGUGAGUCAAAACUAAGCCCAGUAGUGUCACGAAAAAUUCUUCCUUGUUAUGAAUAAUAUGUAAAUUUUACUUUAUGUUCCAAUAAUUUAUUAAAAAUUCACGCGUCACCGCCAGUCUAGUUUUAGUAGAAGAAAAUAAAAAACUGGAAGGAAGGUAGACGAGAGUCCAUGUGUUUAUCAACAAUUUUAACUGCCCGUUUAGCAUUGAACCAUUAGAUUGGGCGGCCACGGUCAUGGAAUAAAUUGGAGUGGAAAAAUGAGCUUGAUUUCUAAAUUUUAAUGUGCGAUUCCAUUACUCUAAUUGCUGGUUUAGCAACUAGCAGUGGUCACAUUUUUUAAUUACUGUUAACAGAUAACUCAUUUUCGUGCGCAAUAAUGUUGGUUCUGUUGGAAAAUCAAAGCCUUUUACGCCACGUCGUAUAAUUUUAGAGUUCCAUUCCGGGGACCAUUCGAGAGAAACUUAUUAACAUGAAUUUAUUGUUAAAUGCGGUCUGUGCGAAUACAAAGUCGUUUGUUUCGGGAUUCAAUUUCGUGUUUAUCAUGACAUUUGACCUACAAAAACAUAAAAUUAUCCAUAUCCGAGGACGACGCAUAAACCGGAAGGAGAGAGCUAACCGACUGGGAAAAGGGUUGCAGUUUUAUGAAGAGGGUUUUUUACGUUGCCAUAAUUACGCGAACUUUAGUGUUGCCUCUCCCAAGACAAAUUCGCGGCUGAGAAGGUCAAUAUCAUUGCUAUGCUCAAAAACGAUACCAUUUACAUAAGUUCAAUGUUACAGUACUAAUAAUGACGUUGUAGGCAAAGGAUAAAUAUUUAAACAGGUCUUAAUGAGCUGUGAAAAUGUUUGCGAAUUUGGAUAAUAAUAAGUUAACGAGAGCAACGUGUCUGCGGUUUUUGGAAUAUUAUUUAAAGGUGAUGCUUAACAAGAAAAGUUUUGCUCCAAUUUCUAAAGAGCUUUGUUCGGAGCUCCGUAUCAUUUACACAAAACUGUUCCACAGGAGCACGUAUGGAAACACGUAUUAGUAAUGUCGUGAGUACAGACAUCUUCUCCACCUUGACAUAGUUUCUCUUAUUUAUCUUGUCCAGUUCUGAACAAAUAUACUUUUCGAAAAAUGUAUUAACUUAAGAUUUGUUUGAUCUAUUGCGACGUUUUAAAAUUUAGUUUUAUGUUGAGAUACAAUAAAAUGCUUUCGUAAAUUG
This is a long non-coding RNA of Tribolium castaneum (red flour beetle), 3820 nucleotides long. RefSeq lists it as uncharacterized. The transcript is spliced from 2 exons. The record is from RefSeq and is a predicted model, not a curated record. Lineage: Eukaryota; Metazoa; Arthropoda; Insecta; Coleoptera; Tenebrionidae.